UACGUAGGGGGCGAGCGUUGUCCGGAUUUAUUGGGCGUAAAGAGCUCGUAGGCGGCUUAGCAAGUCGGGUGUGAAAACGUCCAGGCUCAACCUGGAGACGCCACUCGAGACUGCUAUGGCUAGAGUCCGGUAGGGGACCACGGAAUUCCUGGUGUAGCGGUGAAAUGCGCAGAUAUCAGGAGGAACACCGGUGGCGAAGGCGGUGGUCUGGGCCGGCACUGACGCUGAGGAGCGAAAGCGUGGGGAGCAAACGGG
Molecule: ribosomal RNA, 255 nt
Filed under: uncultured bacterium
Lineage: Bacteria
Description: partial 16S ribosomal RNA
Rfam family: Bacterial small subunit ribosomal RNA
Source: RNAcentral